GCAAGAGUAUCCCCAUAUCAUGCUUUUUCCCUGUCUUUUCUUUUGGCCUUGUUUUUACCUGCAAGACAAGGAGAAAGAGAGCAAUCAGUCAGCACUUGGAAUCAAGCUCCUAGCCAGGAACUGACUGCCUGGAACCCCUUACCUGAUUACUUACCUGGCAUUGCUCUCGAAUACUCAUCUUCAACAUCUUAUGUUUCCAGGGAAGAUUCCGCAUCUGCUUGAGGAACAGAUAGGGCAAGUGCGAAGG
This 247-nucleotide long non-coding RNA is filed under the name Malus domestica (apple). RNAcentral describes it as "long non-coding RNA (MDOM_LNC017558)". The record is from RNAcentral. Lineage: Eukaryota; Viridiplantae; Streptophyta; Magnoliopsida; Rosales; Rosaceae.